UACGGGGGGAGCAAGCGUUGUUCGGAUUUACUGGGCGUAAAGGGCGCGUAGGCGGUCAGCACAAGUCAGUUGUGAAAUCUCCGGGCUUAACCCGGAAAGGUCAACUGAUACUGUGCGACUAGAGUGCGGAAGGGGCAACUGGAAUUCUCGGUGUAGCGGUGAAAUGCGCAGAUAUCAGGAGGAACACCGGUGGCGAAGGCGGGUCUCUGGGCCGAUACUGACGCUGAGGAGCGAAAGCGUGAGGAGCGAACAGG
RNAcentral lists this ribosomal RNA (254 nucleotides) under uncultured bacterium. Its description in RNAcentral is "partial 16S ribosomal RNA". It matches the Rfam family "Bacterial small subunit ribosomal RNA", at positions 524 to 776 of the family's 1533-position model. The record is from RNAcentral.